AAAAACGGCAUGUCUAGUAUAAGCACUCUUGUACCGUGAAACUGCGAAUGGCUCAUUAAAUCAGUUAUCGUUUAUUUGAUAGUACCCUACUACAUGGAUACCUGUGGUAAUUCUAGAGCUAAUACAUGCGCAAAACCCCGACUUCGGAAGGGGUGUAUUUAUUAGAUAAAAAACCAAUGCCCCUCGGGGCUCCUUGGUGAUUCAUAAUAACUUCACGAAUCGCAUGGCCUUGCGCCGGCGAUGGUUCAUUCAAAUUUCUGCCCUAUCAACUUUCGAUGGUAGGAUAGUGGCCUACCAUGGUGGCAACGGGUAACGGGGAAUUAGGGUUCGAUUCCGGAGAGGGAGCCUGAGAAACGGCUACCACAUCCAAGGAAGGCAGCAGGCGCGCAAAUUACCCAAUCCCGAUACGGGGAGGUAGUGACAAUAAAUACUGAUACAGGGCUCUUUUGGGUCUUGUAAUUGGAAUGAGAACAAUCUAAAUCCCUUAACGAGGAACAAUUGGAGGGCAAGUCUGGUGCCAGCAGCCGCGGUAAUUCCAGCUCCAAUAGCGUAUAUUAAAGUUGUUGCAGUUAAAAAGCUCGUAGUUGAACCUUGGGCCCGUCCUGCCGGUCCGCCUCACCGCGAGUACUGGUCCGGAUGGGCCUUUCUUUCUGGGGAAUCCCAUGGCCUUCACUGGCUGUGGCGGGGAACCAGGACUUUUACUGUGAAAAAAUUAGAGUGUUCAAAGCAGGCCUUUGCUCGGAUACAUUAGCAUGGAAUAAUAGAAUAGGACGUGCGGUUCUAUUUUGUUGGUUUCUAGGACCGCCGUAAUGAUUAAUAGGGAUAGUCGGGGGCGUCAGUAUUCAGCUGUCAGAGGUGAAAUUCUUGGAUUUGCUGAAGACUAACUACUGCGAAAGCAUUCGCCAAGGAUGUUUUCAUUAAUCAGGGAACGAAAGUUAGGGGAUCGAAGACGAUCAGAUACCGGUCGUAGUCUUAACCAUAAACUAUGCCGACUAGGGAUCGGGCGGGGGUUUCUAUGAUGACCCGCUCGGGCACCUUACGAAAAAAUCAAAGUUUUUUGGGUUCUGGGGGGGAGUAUGGGCCGCAAGGGUUGAAACUUUAAAGAAAUUGACGGGAAGGGCACCCCCAAGGGCGUGGAAGCCUGGCGGUUUAAUUUUGACUCCACCACGGGGGAAACUCCCCCAGGGCCCAAACAAAAUAAGGGAUUGGCAAAAUUGGAAAGCUCUUUCUUGGAACUUUUUGGAAGGGGGGGGCAUGGGCCGUUCUUAAUUUGGGGGGAAGGGAUUUUGUCCGGCUUAAUUUGCGAAUACCAGAAACAAAAACCUCCCGGUCCUUUAAAAAAACCCCCGGUCCCCGGUUUUGCGGGGCCCCGUUGGGGCUCUUUAAAAGGGGGAAUAUUCCGGUCUCAACCCCCAAAGAGAAAAAUCUGGGGGAAAUAAAAAAGGGUCUGGGGAAGCCCCCCUAAAAAUGUUUUUGGGGGGCCCCCCCCGGCCUCUCCUCUUUAGAAGGGGGCCCCCCAAGAGAAUAAACCUUCUUUUGGGGCCGAAAAACGGCCGGGGGGAAUUUUUUUUUAAAAAAACUCCUCCCCGCGUGGGGGGGGAAAAAAAGAAAUAUUUUUUUAUAUUUUUUGUCUCUCUCCCCCCAAAGAGGAAGAGGAAAAAG
This 1662-nucleotide ribosomal RNA is filed under the name Talaromyces purpureogenus. RNAcentral describes it as "SSU rRNA". It matches the Rfam family "Eukaryotic small subunit ribosomal RNA", at positions 44 to 1443 of the family's 1831-position model. Lineage: Eukaryota; Fungi; Ascomycota; Eurotiomycetes; Eurotiales; Trichocomaceae. The record is from RNAcentral.